Molecule: microRNA precursor, 59 nt
Filed under: Capitella teleta
Lineage: Eukaryota; Metazoa; Annelida; Polychaeta; Capitellidae
Description: Cte-Mir-2693_pre stem-loop
Source: RNAcentral
AGAAAUUGUAUACUAGACUAGUUCGAAGUCUAUUUGCUAGUCUAGUGUACAGUUCAUGG